CCUACGGGUGGCUGCAGUGGGGAAUAUUGGACAAUGGGGGGAACCCUGAUCCAGCCAUGCCGCGUGUGUGAAGAAGGCCCUCGGGUUGUAAAGCACUUUCAGUGAGGAAGAACGCCUGGUGGUUAAUACCCAUCAGGAAAGACAUCACUCACAGAAGAAGCACCGGCUAACUCCGUGCCAGCAGCCGCGGUAAUACGGAGGGUGCGAGCGUUAAUCGGAAGUACUGGGCGUAAAGCGCGCGUAGGUGGCUUGAUAAGCCGGUUGUGAAAGCCCCGGGCUCAACCUGGGAACGGCAUCCGGAACUGUCAAGCUAGAGUGCAGGAGAGGAAGGUAGAAUUCCCGGUGUAGCGGUGAAAUGCGUAGAGAUCGGGAGGAAUACCAGUGGCGAAGGCGGCCUUCUGGACUGACACUGACACUGAGGUGCGAAAGCGUGGGUAGCAAACAGGAUUAGAUACCCGGGUAGUC
RNAcentral lists this ribosomal RNA (465 nucleotides) under Vreelandella stevensii. RNAcentral describes it as "partial 16S ribosomal RNA". It matches the Rfam family "Bacterial small subunit ribosomal RNA", at positions 338 to 795 of the family's 1533-position model. Lineage: Bacteria; Pseudomonadati; Pseudomonadota; Gammaproteobacteria; Oceanospirillales; Halomonadaceae. The record is from RNAcentral.